GAGAUAUCACCUCCAUGUGUACACCUGUGUGUACAAGUAUUCUUUUUUUUUUUUUUUUGAGACUUGUAGCAUUUACUGCCACUUAAUUGGGUUGAACUUGCAAGAUAAACUUUUAGAAACUGCUUAGUGCCAUCGGAGUCUCCUUUAGAAGCUGCCAUCAGGCAAAUGCUAUCCCAUAAUACCAGCAGUAAGGCAGGCACAAUGUUCAACAGAUUUAGUACCCAAGAGUCAUAUGUAGUGGAAUAAAUACUAGCCUAGGAAGAAGGAGCCCUGGAGUCUAAUAUGAGCUUUAUUACUAAAUUGCCAUGUGACCUUCGACAAGUCACUUAACCUCUCCAUGGCUGUUUCCUUAUCUGUAAAAUAAGUGUAUUGGACUAGAUAAUCCUUAGGGUCUUUCCAAAAGUCUAACAUUCUAUGGCAUUGUAGGUUGCCUUGAAAAUUCAGCCUGCUAUAGUGAUGGCAAAUAUCACAUGUUUAAGCCUGAGUCUCUUAUGUUGCAGUUAGAUAAAAAAAAGUAUGUAAAAUGAUUUUUAAAAUUCAAGCAAAUGGGCUGGGUGCGAUGGCUCACACCUGUAAUCCCAGAACUUUGGGAGGCCAAGGCAGGUGGAUAACCUGAGGCCAGGAGUUUGAGACCAGCCUGACCAACAUAGAGACACCCCAUCUCUACUAAAAAUACAAAAUUAGCUGGGUGUGGUGGCAGGCGCCUGUUAUCCCAGCUACUUGGGAGGCUGAGGUGGGAGAAUCGCUUGAACCUGGGAGGUGGAGGUUGCAGUGAGCUGAGAUCAUGCCAUUGCACUCCAGCCUGGGCAACAAGAGUGAAACUCCGUCUCAACAACAACAACAAAAUAAAUCAAGCAAAUGAAGUUCAUAAUAAUAGGGGAUGUUGAUAAAAUUUGUGGCAGUCUUCCAAUUCGUUUACAGUUGUUUCAUUUUGUUUUUGUUCUAAUGUCCAUUUUCUGUUGACUGUUCCCAGUUUUCAUUUUCCAUACAGUCUGUAUGUAAAGUCUGGUUUUCCUUAAGCUGUGACCAGUAUUUGCUGCUAAAACAGAAACACACUGUCACACUUGCUAGAAUAUAACUGUGCUUGGGCUUCUCCUUUCCUGUGAAGUAGUGCUGGGCUUUCUAGAGUUCAAUUCUCAAGUGGCACAAGAUAGCAGAGCCCAUGCAUUUCAAUGGCUGAGACUAUUAAGAGUGAACCUAAACAUUUACAAGUUGCAGAGAGAAAUGAAAAAGUAAUUACAUGCUAUUAGCAUUCAGAAGUGUUGACAAAUUCAUUUGUUGGGAACCAAAGAUAGCAUUUCUGAUGACAACUCCCACAGUGAUUGGCCAGUUGUAUGAUGAGUACACUGCUGGAAAGAGGGUAAACUGGGAGUUAGUUAGUGGAUGGUCCCAAUUCCCUGCCUACAGCAGAGUGCCAACCAGCCCUGAGUGCAAAAUUCGAGUUCAAUGUGUGUUCUUGUGUGUGGUGUGCUUUAUGGACCCGCAAAUACUAUAUUCAUUAUUGAUGAUAAGAUCUUCACAGAAUCCUGUAACUACUAAUGCAUUGAGUUUUUAAUCUCAGUACAUCAGCCAAGAGGAACCAGAUCACAGGGUAGUGAUGUCUACUGGGAUGAUACUCAUAACAUCUACACAAAACAAGUUGAGAAGGAUCCACAUUUUCAUUGUUUAUCAGAAUUGUAUCUCAAUUGGCUGAGCAUUACUUUUGUCAAAAUGUGUUAUCUGUAAACCAUGUGUAGUGAAAUUCUUCUGUAACUUUGGAUUAAAGGUAUUUAUGGUCUUUUUGUUUGUUUGAUUUUUAAGUAAGUUAUUUCUUUUGUCGACCUGCUGAUGGUAUGGUUCCAUCCUUCUGACCUCAGCAUCCAAUCUUUUUAAGGAUUUUUGUUUUCAAUAUUGUUAUUUUAAAUUGUGGUUGAAGCAAUAGAAAAUUGAAAUAUGGAUUGUGCAUGACUGUGUCUUGAGUGUAAAAAUAUUGCAGUUUGAAACUUGGACCUAAAGUAUUGCAAAUAAAAAUGACAAACAUCA
Long non-coding RNA from Macaca fascicularis (crab-eating macaque), 2022 nucleotides. Lineage: Eukaryota; Metazoa; Chordata; Mammalia; Primates; Cercopithecidae. The record is from Ensembl.